This 1326-nucleotide long non-coding RNA is filed under the name Homo sapiens (human). Its description in RNAcentral is "HSALNT0245708". Lineage: Eukaryota; Metazoa; Chordata; Mammalia; Primates; Hominidae. The record is from RNAcentral.
CCGCACCUGCCCUCCUGCCAGGUGGUCAUGGGCCUCACUUGGUCCAAUUUUGUCCAGGUCACCAGUGGUUUCAGAUUUGGAUGAGAAGAUAAUGGCUUCACCUUGGAUGCUCUGGGCCGAUGCACUUGGGGAAGAUUCUGUGAGCUUUUGGAUUCUGGGAAGAGUCGGCAUCCAGUAGGCAGUAAGCCCUGGAUUCUUCCGGCAGUGGAGAGGGAGGAGGUGCUGACGAAAUCUCACAGGGAAGCUGAUGAGAAGCAACAGCCAAGAACUGCCCACUCGUGGGAGCAGCCUGUCUCUUCCCACCUCUGCCAGGAGGGUGUGGUCACCAGAAUUCCCCAGCUGGACAAAGGAGGUCGAGGGAAGGUCACCCCUCCCAGCAAGGAAUCAGCGGACAGUGGAGCAUAGCAAGGAAAUCCUCCCACCACUCAAAUUAGAACAAAAGGCCAGCAUUCCUCUGCAAGAGACUGGAGAACCUGGCGUGUAUCUGUGUAAGAAAACCCUCUGUGGAGAGCUGGUAGGGCCAUAUGGCCCCCAAAGAACAAAAUAGAAUAAGCCGCCUCCCGCCCCACCCUGCUCCGUGAGUGGAGUGAUCACAUCUUCCGCACCCAAAAUUGAAACACGUGGUUUGACAAAGGAUUUCUGGGCUCUUGCUAGAUACACAAGGGGGUUUGAAGGAUUCCAUCUGAAUGUCAAAAUGGCAGGAAAUCCACAUCCUGCAGGUGAAGCUGACUUUGAAAACAGGACUGCUCUGGGACUCCAGAGUGAGUCUCCUCCACAGACACAAGGGUUGGUCCUGCCUGACCCCAGAUAUCCAGCCUUCCCCCUCACCUGCUACCUUGCCCAUUACCUGAGGCCUGGGCUGCAGGGUGCCCACCCCCAUCCUUGAUGCAGCAACAAGGACUGAACGUCCCUGGCUCAGCAUGGAGCUGGUGCCAAGAGCAGCCCACCAGGCAGAGGAAGAGAACUGAAUCCACCACUACUGCGGAGGGAAACGAUGCAAUUCAUAAAAAGCAUCAGACCCUCCCCGGCCCCGGCAUCACUGCAGGUGGAGACAGACCCCAAACAGGUGCCUGGGCUUCCACUACAAAUCACCCUAUUGGGAAAAAAAGGGUGAAAGAUCUCUAUAAUGGAAAACCAUGACUCAGUUCUGUUGGUUUGUUUGUUUUUUAAGGCAAAGCUCUCAGCUCUGCAAAACAAUCCCAGGGUCCUUAUAAUUUAAUCAAAAGGUGGGGCAUUUGGUCCACCCUGAAGAGCCAGGCAUCAUUUUCUGGAUGUCUGUUCAGCUGGAAGGAGAAUGAAUCUCUUCCUUUCUAAAACAAUAAAAAG